AUUUACCUUAUUACACCACAAAAUAAGGUACCUACAAGCAAUUGCAAACAACAGCAGAUUAAGCAACUGAUGUUUAGAUUUCCCAACGUGAAAAGAAAAUAAUAUGAAGGCAAACCUAUGAUAAUAGUGAUGUUUACAAAGAAACAAUGGUAUAACAUUAAACACCGAUUGAUACAAAGGUAGAAAAUGACAAUACAACAGUAUCUCAGUCAGUUCUGAAAGCAGUG
RNAcentral lists this unclassified non-coding RNA (227 nucleotides) under Hevea brasiliensis (rubber tree). The record is from RNAcentral. Lineage: Eukaryota; Viridiplantae; Streptophyta; Magnoliopsida; Malpighiales; Euphorbiaceae.